UAAGAAAAAACCUAAGACUUCAUUUGGUAGACUUCAUUUGGUUCGGAUAUAAACAAGAAUUGCUUAUUUCAAGGAUAGCUAUAAGUUCAGGUAUAAGUCUGGAAUAGAACAAUUUUACGUUUGGAUGAAAAUUGAGUUGUUUCCAAAAAUAAAAAAAUAGUAUUUGGAUAUAUAAGAUGGAAUAAGAAGAUUAGUAGGUAGUUAUAAAUAAAAAAUAAUGAUAUUGCCCUUAUAUUAUAUUGGAAUUUAAAAUUUAAAAUUUUAUAUUUAAAUUUUUAAACUUAAAUAUAUAACUUUUAAAUUUCAAAAAAUUAAAAUUAAAUUGAAAUUUUUAAAUCUCAAAUUCAAAAAUUCAAAGUUCUAAAUUUUAAAUUUAAAAUUAAUCAAAAUUUAAAUAUAUAAAAUAUCAAAUUUUAAAAUUUAAAAAAAUUAAAAUAUGAAUUUAAAAUUUAGAAUUUAGAAUUAAAAAAUUUUAAUUUUAAGAUUACAAAUUAUAAAUUUUUAAAAUUUAAAAUUUAAAAUUUAAAAUUAAAAUUUAAAUUUUUAAAAAUUAAAUAGAGGUGUGGAAAGAGUUGUU
Molecule: long non-coding RNA, 577 nt
Filed under: Ananas comosus (pineapple)
Lineage: Eukaryota; Viridiplantae; Streptophyta; Magnoliopsida; Poales; Bromeliaceae
Description: long non-coding RNA (ACOM_LNC044347)
Source: RNAcentral